RNAcentral lists this ribosomal RNA (756 nucleotides) under uncultured bacterium. Its description in RNAcentral is "bacterial SSU rRNA". It matches the Rfam family "Bacterial small subunit ribosomal RNA", at positions 8 to 796 of the family's 1533-position model. The record is from RNAcentral.
AGAGUUUGAUCAUGGCUCAGAAUCAACGCUGGCGGCGCGCCUAACACAUGCAAGUCGAACGAGAAAGUGGAGCAAUCCAUGAGUACAGUGGCGUACGGGUGAGUAACACGUGGGUAAUCUACCUCUUAGUGAGGAAUAACCCUGGGAAACCGGGGCUAAUACCGCAUAAGCCUGAGAAGGGAAAGCAGCAAUGCGCUGAGAGAGGAGCCCGCGGCCGAUUAGCUAGUUGGUGGGGUAAGAGCCCACCAAGGCAGAGAUCGGUAGCCGGCCUGAGAGGGCACACGGCCACACUGGCACUGAAACACGGGCCAGACUCCUACGGGAGGCAGCAGUGGGGAAUCUUGCACAAUGGGGGAAACCCUGAUGCAGCGACGCCGCGUGAGCGAUGAAGCCCUUCGGGGUGUAAAGCUCUUUCGUCAGGGAAGAUAGUGACGGUACCUGGAGAAGCAGCUGCGGCUAACUACGUGCCAGCAGCCGCGGUAAUACGUAGGCAGCAAGCGUUGUUCGGAGUUACUGGGCGUAAAGGGUGUGUAGGCGGUUCUUUAAGUUUGGUGUGAAAUCUCCCGGCUUAACCGGGAGGGUGCGCCGAAUACUGAGGGACUAGAGUACGGGAGAGGAAAGUGGAAUUCCUGGUGUAGCGGUGAAAUGCGUAGAUAUCAGGAGGAACACCGGUGGUGUAGACGGCUUUCUGGACCGUAACUGACGCUGAGACACGAAAGCGUGGGUAGCAAACAGGAUUAGAUACCCUAGUAGUCC